GGCGUAGCGGUUAAGUGCGCACAUUCCGCUUUGGCGGCCCGGGGUUGGCUGGUUUGGAUCCCGGGUGCACACAUAGCACCACUCGUCAAGCCACACAUAAAGUGGUAGGCGUCCCACACAUAAAGUGGAGGAAGAUGGGCACAGACGUUAGCUCAGGGCCAGUCCUCCUCGGCAAAAAAGAGGAGGAUUGGUAGCAGUUAGCUCAGGGCUAAUCUUCCUCAAAAAAAAAAAAAAGAGACUGAAGAGGACACACAGAUGAAGGCCAUGUGACGCUGGACAGAGAGAUUGGAGUGAUACAGUUACAAGCCAGGGAAUGCCAAGGAUUGUGAGCAGCUGCCGGGAGCCAGGAAGGGGCCAGGAAGGAUUCUCCCUUAGGAGCUUCGGAGAGGAGGAAACUGAGGCAGGCACAGUUUCGCUCACAAAGCAGCUAUGGGAUGCAAGCACCUAGCAGCUGUGUUGCAGCUUUCAAGAGGCAGAGCCCGUUCCCCAAGCAACGUGCGGUGGAGCAUCAGUGGUGCUGAGUGCCAGCUGAAUGCCCCCAGCAGCUCUGUGAGCCAGCGCCCAGCAAAUGACCGGAGAAAGCGGAAGGCGACGCUGGCAGGAGCUGGUGUCCGAAAACGUCAGGAAUGGAGGGAUGGACAGCAGCAAAUGAAAAGGAGGAUGAACAGAACAUCUGACAGCAGCAUCUUUGCGUCGCUGGGUGUGCUGCCUUUUCCUCAGCCUUCUUCCCCAAGACAAAGCCCAUUUGUGUCCUGCUCAUCUGCCUCUUUGCUCCUAGUAUCUCUCUAAGGAUGACUCAGGGGCCCUGCUGAGCCAAGGAAUUUCUGCAGGCUGGCAUGGCAGCCAUUUGAUCCCUGUGGCAAUAGAAUGCAGAUAGAGGAAGGCGUGUGUGAGUGGAGAGAGAAGGCAAUGAGGCCUCUGUCUACAGGUUUCCAAGAAAGGCAGAAGCUUGUUUCACGCCACACAAAGGGCUGGCUGACCCAGAUAGAUUGAAAUCUUGAGAUUGCUUGCAUAUCCAUUCUAGUAGGCUCCAUCACCCAUCCCAUUAACAGCAGGAGCUACACAGAAGCAUGGAACGUGACUGAAUUGUUGCUACCUGCUGAAAUGGGUUCUAAGAAGGGCCAUUUUGUAUUCUCAAGAU
This 1141-nucleotide long non-coding RNA is filed under the name Equus caballus (horse). RNAcentral's name for it is "lncRNA (ENSECAG00000054894.1)". Lineage: Eukaryota; Metazoa; Chordata; Mammalia; Perissodactyla; Equidae. The record is from RNAcentral.